AGAGGUCUUACAGGCGCCACAGACACCUAUCAGCCUUUUGUAAGGAGGAGCAGCUCGAGUGCGGUGCGGUCAGUAGCCCUUCAAAUUAGAAAAGUGAGGAUGAUCUUGUCAAUGCUGAGAUUUUCAUGCAUCAACAGCCACUACAUCUGGAUCAGAUUGAACAAGAAACAGACAGCAAGGGUUGUCAGAUCAGAAACAGAAUGACACACAAACACAAGAAACUUCACAUGCAGAUCAACAUGCAAUUUGAAGACGUGUGAUAAAAUACAGAGAGGUGAAGUAGUGUGUCUUUCCAGAUCCCCAAAUCAUUCCCCCUUAAAAGAUGAGCCUGAAGAGGAGAUUUGGGAAGAUGCUGUUUCAUAAGUCGCUUUGCCAGAUCACCUGUGGUCAGGAUGUCUGCUAACAAGAUGCCUUGCUGGUCUGAGCGAGUUAAACGGCUUACACAGACAGUCCAGAAGUUCUGAAGUCCAUCUUCGAUUUCAUUGAUGCUGUCAUCGUAUUAAGUACAGCAUGAGCCAGAAUAGAUGGGUGAUGGUGGCCAUAAGAAGACUGUCAACUAAACCAACAACAAAAUUCAUAUUUGCAGUUUUUCUUGAAUAAAGUUUUUCUAUUCAGAUUAAUAAAAUGACUUUUAAACAUGAUUUUGUUUCAUAUUUUAUGAUUUUAUUCUAUAUUUAGAAAAUUCCACUUCUGCACUACUAACUGGAAACCUAACU
Molecule: non-coding RNA, 716 nt
Organism: Paramisgurnus dabryanus
Lineage: Eukaryota; Metazoa; Chordata; Actinopteri; Cypriniformes; Cobitidae
Source: RefSeq, a predicted model, not a curated record